GUUAGGGGUGAGAAAGAGCCCGGUCUGGGAGAGCCGGCACAUGGGUCCCAGUGGUGGUUCCGCUGCUUCCUCGCUUCGCUCUGUCAUAACCUGGCAUUCAGCCUGCUUUUCCUUUUAAGAAUUGAACACUUUUCCGUUCCGCUUCCAUACUGCAGGGCGUGCAGACUGUGAAAAUCAGAGGUCAGACCACUCUUCUGUGAGCUUUCAACUGCGGGGUCUGCAGUGCUGGGAUUAAAGGCGUGCGCCACCAUCGCCCGG
This is a long non-coding RNA of Microtus ochrogaster (prairie vole), 258 nucleotides long. RefSeq lists it as uncharacterized. The record is from RefSeq and is a predicted model, not a curated record. Lineage: Eukaryota; Metazoa; Chordata; Mammalia; Rodentia; Cricetidae. The transcript has 3 exons.